Molecule: ribosomal RNA, 305 nt
Filed under: uncultured bacterium
Lineage: Bacteria
Description: bacterial SSU rRNA
Rfam family: Bacterial small subunit ribosomal RNA
Source: RNAcentral
UUGUCCUACGGGAGGCAGCAGUGAGGAAUAUUGGUCAAUGGGAGGAAUCCUGAACCAGCCAUGCCGCGUGCAGGACGACGGCUCUACGAGUUGUAAACUGCUUUUGUACCGGGGUUAAAUGCUCUACGAGUAGGGUUUUGAAAGUACGGUACGAAAAAGCAUCGGCUAACUCCGUGCCAGCAGCCGCGGUAAUACGGAGGAUGCGAGCGUUAUCCGGAUUUAUUGGGUUUAAAGGGUGCGUAGGCGGAAUAUCAAGUCAGCGGUAAAAAUUCGGGGCUCAACCCCGUCGUGCCGUUGAAACUGAU